GACGAACGCUGGCGGCGUGCUUAACACAUGCAAGUCGAACGGAAAGGCCUCUUUCGGGGGGUACUCGAGUGGCGAACGGGUGAGUAACACGUGAGUAACCUGCCCUUGACUUUGGGAUAACUUCAGGAAACUGGGGCUAAUACCGGAUAGGAGCUCCUGCUGCAUGGGGGGGGUUGGAAAGGUUCGGCGGUUGGGGAUGGACUCGCGGCUUAUCAGCUUGUUGGUGGGGUAGUGGCUUACCAAGGCUUUGACGGGUAGCCGGCCUGAGAGGGUGACCGGCCACAUUGGGACUGAGAUACGGCCCAGACUCCUACGGGAGGCAGCAGUGGGGAAUAUUGCACAAUGGGUGGAAGCCUGAUGCAGCAACGCCGUGUGCGGGAUGACGGCCUUCGGGUUGUAAACCGCUUUCGCUCAUGACGAAGCUUUGUGUGACGGUAGUGGGUAAAGAAGCACCGGCUAACUACGUG
Molecule: ribosomal RNA, 467 nt
Filed under: uncultured bacterium
Lineage: Bacteria
Description: partial 16S ribosomal RNA
Rfam family: Bacterial small subunit ribosomal RNA
Source: RNAcentral